ACUAAGCCUAGCCCGACCCGACCCAAACAAAACUACCACACACAACUAAACUAAAACAUUUACCCACCUAUUAAAAGUAUAGGAGAUAGAAAUUGAACUCAGGCGCUAUAGAGACAGUACCGUAAGGGAAAGAUGAAAGAUUAAAUUACAGUACAAAACAGCAAAGAUUAACCCUUAUACCUUUUGCAUAAUGAAUUAACUAGAACAAUCUGACGAAGCGAACUGCAGCCAGAAGUCCCGAAACCGGACGAGCUACCUACAAGCAGUCUAAAGGACGAACUCAUCUAUGUGGCAAAAUAGUGAGAAGACUUGAAGGUAGGGGUGAAAAGCCAACCGAGCCCGGUGAUAGCUGGUUGUCCAGGAUAGAAUUUUAGUUCUACCUAAAAUUUACUAAAAAGAAACAUUAAUCCCUAUGUAAACUUUAGAGGUACUCAAAAGAGGUACAGCUCUUUUGACACAGGAUACAACCUUAGCUAGAGAGUAAGCAUUUCACAAUCCAUAGUAGGCCUAGAAGCAGCCACCAAUUAAGAAAGCGUUAAAGCUCAACACCAUUAAACUCGUUAAUACCCUUAAAAUUAGCCAUCUCCUAGACCUAAUACUGGACUAUUCUAUUUUUUAAUAGAAGAAAUAAUGUUAAUAUAAGUAACAAGAAUUAUUUCUCCCUGCAUAAGCUUAUAUCAGAACGGAUGCCCACUGAUAGUUAACAACUAGAUAAACUAAACCCACUAACCAGAACCUUAUCAAACCCAUUGUUAACCCAACACAGGCAUGCUUAAAGGGAAAGAUUAAAAGAAGUAAAAGGAACUCGGCAAACACAGACCCCGCCUGUUUACCAAAAACAUCACCUCUAGCAUAUUAAGUAUUGGAGGCACUGCCUGCCCAGUGACACACGUUCAACGGCCGCGGUACUCUGACCGUGCAAAGGUAGCAUAAUCAUUUGUUCCUUAAUUAGGGACUUGUAUGAAUGGCCACACGAGAGUCUAACUGUCUCUUUCUUCCAAUCAGUGAAAUUGACCUCCCCGUGAAGAGGCGGGGAUAAUCCUAUAAGACGAGAAGACCCUAUGGAGCUUAAAUUAACUAACUUAAUAAUAUAAAUAUCCACCCUACGGGCUUAACCUAGCAUUUUUAUGAGUUAACAAUUUUGGUUGGGGUGACCUCGGAGAACAAGAAAACCUCCGAAUGAUACUAUGACUCAGACCUCACCAGUCCAAGUCUGCGAAUCACUUAUUGACCCAAUUAUUGAUCAACGGAACAAGUUACCCUAGGGAUAACAGCGCAAUCCUAUUUUAGAGUCCAUAUCGACAAUAGGGUUUACGACCUCGAUGUUGGAUCAGGACAUCCCAAUGGUGCAGCAGCUAUUAAAGGUUCGUUUGUUCAACGAUUAAAGUCCUACGUGAUCUGAGUUCAGACCGGAGCAAUCCAGGUCGGUUUCUAUCUAUAUGCCAUUUCUCCCAGUACGAAAGGACAAGAGAAAUAGAGUCUACUCUUAUACGGAGCGCUCUAAUCUUAAUUCUAUGAAUUAAUCUCAAUAUAAAUAAAUUGACCAACCCUGCCCAAGACCAGGGCCU
Molecule: ribosomal RNA, 1568 nt
Filed under: Trichechus manatus (West Indian manatee)
Lineage: Eukaryota; Metazoa; Chordata; Mammalia; Sirenia; Trichechidae
Description: 16S ribosomal RNA
Rfam family: Bacterial large subunit ribosomal RNA
Source: RNAcentral